CACGUAGGCGGCUUCGUAAGUCUGGUGUGAAAUCUCACGGCUCAACCGGGAGGCUGCACCAGAUACUGCGAAGCUCGAGGACGGGAGAGGAGAUUGGAAUUCCCGGUGUAGCGGUGAAAUGCAUUGAUAUCGGGAGGAACACCAGUGGCGAAGGCGGAUCUCUGGCCCGUUGCUGACGCUGAGGUGCGAAAGCUGGGGGAGCGAAAGGGAUUAGAUACCCCUGUAGUCCCAGCCCUAAACGAUGGGCGCUAGGUGUUGGGGGAUUAACCCUCGGCGCCGUAGCUAACGCAUUAAGCGCCCCGCCUGGGGAGUACGGCCGCAAGAUUGAAACUCAAAGGAAUUGACGGGGGCCCGCACAAGCGGUGGAGCAUGUGGAUUAAUUCGAUACAAACCGAAGAACCUUACCUGGGCUUGACAUCCACGAGAAACGCCUAGAAAUAGGCGCCUCGGGAAACUGACCCGUGGACACCGGUUGCAUGGCUGUCGUCAGCUCGUGUCGUGAGAUGUUGGGUUAAGUCCCGCAACGAGCGCAACCCCUG
RNAcentral lists this ribosomal RNA (539 nucleotides) under uncultured Armatimonadota bacterium. Its description in RNAcentral is "bacterial SSU rRNA". It matches the Rfam family "Bacterial small subunit ribosomal RNA", at positions 568 to 1107 of the family's 1533-position model. Lineage: Bacteria; Bacillati; Armatimonadota. The record is from RNAcentral.